RNAcentral lists this unclassified non-coding RNA (305 nucleotides) under plant metagenome. RNAcentral describes it as "partial contains 5.8S ribosomal RNA, internal transcribed spacer 2, and large subunit ribosomal RNA". The stretch from base 1 to 105 matches the Rfam family "5.8S ribosomal RNA", at positions 50 to 154 of the family's 154-position model. The record is from RNAcentral.
GAAAUGCGAUAAGUAAUGUGAAUUGCAGAAUUCAGUGAAUCAUCGAAUCUUUGAACGCACAUUGCGCCCGCCAGUAUUCUGGCGGGCAUGCCUGUUCGAGCGUCAUUUCAACCAUCAAGCCCCGGGCUUGUGUUGGGGACCUGCGGCUCCCGCAGGCCCUGAAAACCAGUGGCGGGCUCGCUGUCACACCGAGCGUAGUAGAUUCUCAUCUCGCUCAGGGCGUGCUGCGGGUUCCGGCCGUAAAACAGCCUUAUUUUACCCAAGGUUGACCUCGGAUCAGGUAGGAAGACCCGCUGAACUUAAGC